GAAGGUAUAGCUCAGUGGUAGAGCACGUGCUUAGCAUGCACAAGGUCUAGGGUUCAAUCCCCAGUACCUCCA
This 72-nucleotide transfer RNA is filed under the name Camelus bactrianus (Bactrian camel). It matches the Rfam family "tRNA". Rfam says of the family: Transfer RNA (tRNA) molecules are approximately 80 nucleotides in length. Their secondary structure includes four short double-helical elements and three loops (D, anti-codon, and T loops). The record is from Rfam by way of RNAcentral. RNAcentral also lists the same sequence under 2 other names. Lineage: Eukaryota; Metazoa; Chordata; Mammalia; Artiodactyla; Camelidae.